ACAGAGGGGGCUAGCGUUAUUCGGAAUUAUUGGGCGUAAAGGGCGCGUAGGCGGCCAUGCGUGUCUUCCGUGAAAUCCCUCGGCUUAACUGAGGACGUGCGGAAGAAACUGCAAGGCUCGAGUCCGGGAGAGGGGGGUGGAAUUCCCAGUGUAGCGGUGAAAUGCGUAGAUAUUGGGAGGAACACCGGUGGCGAAGGCGGCCCCCUGGACCGGUACUGACGCUGAGGCGCGAAAGCGUGGGUAGCAAACGGGAUUAGAUACCCCGGUAGUCCACGCCGUAAACGAUGGGCACUUGGUGUCGCGGGUAUCGACCCCUGCGGUGCCGAAGCUAACGCAUUAAGUGCCCCGCCUGGGGAGUACGGUCGCAAGGCUG
RNAcentral lists this ribosomal RNA (373 nucleotides) under uncultured bacterium. RNAcentral describes it as "bacterial SSU rRNA". It matches the Rfam family "Bacterial small subunit ribosomal RNA", at positions 525 to 896 of the family's 1533-position model. The record is from RNAcentral.